This 305-nucleotide ribosomal RNA is filed under the name uncultured bacterium. RNAcentral describes it as "bacterial SSU rRNA". It matches the Rfam family "Bacterial small subunit ribosomal RNA", at positions 334 to 637 of the family's 1533-position model. The record is from RNAcentral.
GUAGCUUACGGGAGGCAGCAGUGAGGAAUAUUGGCCAAUGGGCGGGAGCCUGAACCAGCCAAGCCGCGUGAAGGAAGAAGGCGCCAGGCGUUGUAAACUUCUUUUGUCGGGGAACAAAGGGCGCCACGCGUGGCGUUGUGAGUGUACCCGAAGAAAAAGCAUCGGCUAACUCCGUGCCAGCAGCCGCGGUAAUACGGAGGAUGCGAGCGUUAUCCGGAUUUAUUGGGUUUAAAGGGUGCGUAGGCGGUCCGGAAAGUCAGCGGUAAAGGCCCGGGGCUCAACCCCGGCGCGCCGUUGAAACUGUG